RNAcentral lists this ribosomal RNA (477 nucleotides) under uncultured bacterium. RNAcentral's name for it is "bacterial SSU rRNA". It matches the Rfam family "Bacterial small subunit ribosomal RNA", at positions 355 to 823 of the family's 1533-position model. The record is from RNAcentral.
UAGGGAAUCUUGCGCAAUGGGCGAAAGCUUGACGCAGCCACGCCGCGUGGAUGAUGAAGGCCUUCGGGUCGUAAAGUCCUUUUCUGAAGGAAGAACGAUACCACGAGGAAAUGCGUGGUGUGUGACGGUACUUCAGGAAUAAGCCACGGCUAACUCUGUGCCAGCAGCCGCGGUAAUACAGAGGUGGCAAGCGUUGUUCGGAAUUACUGGGCGUAAAGGGAGCGCAGGCGGCCGAGUCAGUCUGGAGUGCAAGCCCGGGGCUCAACCCCGGAAUUGCUUUGGAUACUACUUGGCUUGAGUACGUCAGAGGUGAGCGGAAUUCCAGGUGUAGCGGUGAAAUGCGUAGAUAUCUGGAGGAACAUCGGUGGCGAAGGCGGCUCACUGGGACGAAACUGACGCUGAGGCUCGAAAGCGUGGGGAGCGGAACGGGAUUAGAUACCCCGGUAGUCCACGCUGUAAACGUUGUGCACUAGGUGU